Non-coding RNA from Micropterus salmoides (largemouth bass), 682 nucleotides. NCBI's taxonomy places the organism in Eukaryota, Metazoa, Chordata, Actinopteri, Centrarchiformes, Centrarchidae. The record is from the annotation of a RefSeq genome assembly.
ACAAUGAUGAUGUCACUGAUUCUACUGCUGGCCACCCUGGGGCUCCUUGUUCAGGGUUCAUCAGGACAAAUCAUCCUGACUCAGUCUCCUGGAUCUCAGUCUGUUGUUCCAGGACAGGCUGUCUCUCUCAAAUGUAAAGCCAGUUCAACUGUUAGAAGCUACCUCAGCUGGUACCUUCAGAAACCUGGAGAAGCUCCUAAACUCCUGAUUUAUGCAGCUACAACUCGUCUGUCUGGAGUUCCAGAUCGUUUUAGUGGAAGUGGAUCUGGGACUGACUUCACUCUGACCAUCAGUGGAGUUCAGGCUGAAGAUUCAGGAGUUUAUUACUGUCAGCAGGGUUCCAGCUAUCCGUUCACACAGUGAUACAACGUCGUACAAAAACCUCCCUCAGCAGGAGAGGAACUGAUCUGACUCAACAGCUGCACUGAAACUAAAACAACAGGAGGUUUAUAAAAAAACUUUUAGACAAUAACAACAACACUUUAAACAUUUCAACACUAAAUAUUCUGUAUUUAAGCCAAACAUUUAUAAUCUAAUUGAACUAUUCUUCUGAAAUUCACAAAGUAUCAUAACACUAAAAUUGUAAAUAUUUAUGAUUUUAUAUCUUACAAUUUUUCAUAGGAACUUCAACAUACUUAACGAAAUAUCAUCUCAAUAAAAUCUAAUUUCAUUCAAGUCAAAA